UACAGAGGGUGCGAGCGUUAAUCGGAAUUACUGGGCGUAAAGCGCACGUAGGCGGCUUGGUAUGUCGGGUGUGAAAUCCCCGGGCUCAACCUGGGAACUGCAUCCGAAACUGCCUUGCUAGAGUAUGGGAGAGGGAAGUGGAAUUUCCGGGUGUAGCGGUGAAAUGCGUAGAUAUCGGAAGGAACAUCAGUGGCGAAGGCGACUUCCUGGACCAAUACUGACGCUCAGGUGCGAAAGCGUGGGGAGCAAACAGGG
RNAcentral lists this ribosomal RNA (255 nucleotides) under uncultured bacterium. RNAcentral describes it as "partial 16S ribosomal RNA". It matches the Rfam family "Bacterial small subunit ribosomal RNA", at positions 524 to 777 of the family's 1533-position model. The record is from RNAcentral.